UACGUAGGUCCCGAGCGUUGUCCGGAUUUAUUGGGCGUAAAGCGAGCGCAGGUGGUUUAUUAAGUCUGGUGUAAAAGGCAGUGGCUCAACCAUUGUAUGCAUUGGAAACUGGUAGACUUGAGUGCAGGAGAGGAGAGUGGAAUUCCAUGUGUAGCGGUGAAAUGCGUAGAUAUAUGGAGGAACCCCGGUGGCGAAAGCGGCUCUCUGGCCUGUAACUGACACUGAGGCUCGAAAGCGUGGGGAGCAAACAGG
Molecule: ribosomal RNA, 252 nt
Filed under: uncultured bacterium
Lineage: Bacteria
Description: partial 16S ribosomal RNA
Rfam family: Bacterial small subunit ribosomal RNA
Source: RNAcentral